Molecule: ribosomal RNA, 1476 nt
Filed under: uncultured Bordetella sp.
Lineage: Bacteria; Pseudomonadati; Pseudomonadota; Betaproteobacteria; Burkholderiales; Alcaligenaceae
Description: partial 16S-23S ribosomal RNA intergenic spacer
Rfam family: Bacterial small subunit ribosomal RNA
Source: RNAcentral
AGUUCCGAUUAUGGCUCCAGAUUGAACGCUGGCAGGAUGCUACACAUGCAAGUCGGAGCAGCAGCACGGACUUCGGUCUGGUGGCGAGUGGCGAACGGGUGAGUAAUGUAUCGGAACGUGCCUAGUAGCGGGGGAUAACUACGCGAAAGCGUAGCUGAAAAUACCGCAUCGCCAUACCAGGAAAGCGGGGACCUUCGGGCCUCGCGCUAUUAGAGCGGCCGAUAUCGGAUUAGCUGGUUGGUGGGGUAACGGCUCACCAAGGCAUUUGAUCCGUAGCUGGUUUGAGAGGACGUUAAGCCCACGCUGGGACUGAGACACGGCCAGACUCCUGGGAGGCAGCAGUGGGGAAUUUUGGACAAUGGAAACCUGAUCAGCCAUCCCGCGUGUGCGAUAAAGGCGCUUCGGGUUGUAAGCACUUUUGGCAGGAAAGAAACGGCGCAGGAUAAUACCCGUGCAACUGACGAACACCUGCAGAAUAAGCACCGGCUAACUACAUUACCAGCAGCCGCGGUAAUACGUAGAAGUGCAAGCGUUAAUCGGAAUUACUGGGCGUAAAGCGUGCGCGAGCGGUUCGGAAGAGAUCUUGAAAUCCCAGAGCUUAACUUUGGGGCACAUUUCAACACAGAGCUAGGAGAGUGUGUCAGAGGAGGUGGAAUUCGCGUGUGGCAGUGAAAUGCGUAGAUGCGGAGGAACACCGAUGGCGAAACAGCCUCCUGGGAUACUGACGCUCAUGCACACGAAAGCGUGGAGCAAACAGGAUUAGAUACCCUGGUAGUCCACGCCCUAAACGAUGUCAACUAGCUGUUUGGGGCCUUCGGCCUUGGUAGCGCAGCUAACGCGUAUGAAGUUGACCGCCUGGGGAGUACGGUCGCAAGAUUAAAACUCGAAGAUUGACGGGGACCCGCACAAGCGGUGGAUGAUGUGGAUUAAUUCGAUGCAACGCGAAAAGCCUUACCUACCCUUGACAUGUCUGGAAUCCCGAAGAGAUUUGGGAGUGCUCGCAAGAAGACGGAACACAGGUGCUGCAUGGCUGUCGUCAGCUCGUGUCGUGAGAUGUUGGGUUAAGUCCCGCAACGAGCGCAACCCUUGUCAUUGGUUGCUACGAAAGGAGACAUCUAAUGAGACUGCCGGUGACAAACCGGAGGAAGGUGGGGAUGACGUCAAGUCCUCAUGGCCCUUAUGGGUAGGGCUUCACACGUCAUACAAUGGUCGGGACAGAGGGUCGCCAACCCGCGAGGGGGAACCAAUCCCAGAAACCCGAUCGUGGUCCGGAUCUGAUCUGCAACUCGACUGCGUGAAGUCGGAAUCGCUGAAGUAAUCGCGGAUCAGCAUGUCGCGGUGAAUACGUUCCCGGGUCUUGUACGCACCGCCCGUCACACCAUAGAGUGGGUUUUACCAGAAGUAGUUAGCCUAACCGUAUGAGGGGCGAUUACCACGGUAGGAUUCAUGACUGGGGUGAAGUCGUAACAAAGGUAA